Non-coding RNA from Phasianus colchicus (ring-necked pheasant), 13166 nucleotides. NCBI's taxonomy places the organism in Eukaryota, Metazoa, Chordata, Aves, Galliformes, Phasianidae. The record is from RefSeq and is a predicted model, not a curated record.
CAGUUCCUCUCUCCCAGGCAGAGCAGCCUGGCAGAUGCUCCAGCCCUGUCCUCAGCCUCAGGGCCUUUGGGGCUCUCCUUGUGUGCCCACCCCCCUGGUGCCGGGGGCCUGGGACUGGACCUGAUGCUUGAGUUGUGCCCUUGUGCUGAGCAGGACAGGCAGGGUGCUCCAUUCCCCACCCACUGUCUGCCUCAGGAGUUUGGCUUCUCAGCAUUUGCAGGGGGGAGGCUGCAGGCUGGCACUGCUCUGAACGCUCACUUAAUUGUGUGGGGACUUGAGAUCACAAAGAGCUCCUAGUGGGCUCCGCAACAACUGUUUAUUUUUUCAUUUUUUCCUCAACACUUCCUCAGCUCGGUCUUUCUGUAAAAUCCGGAGAUUUCCAGCAUGUGAAAUUGCUUUAGCAGUCUUCACAGCUCCCUGGGGGAGCAACUUUUGUUUUCUCUCUUCCCUACUGUGACAGAAAUGCUGCAUGCAUCCAAGAUGCUGUAUAAAAAUAACCCAGCGGAUUUCUUUCAGGCGUGCAGAGCGGAGUUCUGCAGGGCUCCCUUCAUGUCCUUGAAGUCUCUAUCACCACUCUGCAGCUGAGGUGAUGUGCUGACUGUACCAGCAGCCCUCCUUGGGCUGUGUCAUGGGUUUCAGAUGGGCUGAGAACGAACCCGACGUGACUUAAUCACAAGCAGUUGUACGAGCAGGCAGUGAGUACUGCUUUGUUUUUCAGAGGGAUGUCAAUGCUUUGCUCCUGAUGGAAUCAAGAGUGGGGCCCGAAGGUGGCACUGGCUGCCCAGGGGGUGGCUGGUGGCAGUUGGAGCAGCGCCUGGAAUUGUGGGGGGCAGCAGUUGGGGCAGUUGGAUGUGAUGGUGCUGUGGUCCUGUUAGUGGGUCCUGCCCCCAGCACUGACCUGGGGGUGGAUUUUAGUGCUGAUUCCUAAGGGCUCGCAGGUGGAUGUGAGGUCUUCUGAGUACAAGUGCUGUAACCUUUUUAAAACGCUGGGGUUGUUGGAGUGGUUGAAUUUUUCCUGGAUUUGAGUGAGAAAUUCAGAAGACUGAAGCCCAGGCUCACUGUCUACCUUUCACGGAGGCCCAGCCGUGAGAGGACAGAAGAAGGCACGUGGCGAAUCAUGACAGCGGACAAAGAAAAAGACAAAGACAAAGAGAAGGACAGGGAUAGAGACCGGGACAAGGAGCGAGACAAGAGAGAUAAGGUGAGGGAGAGCGAGAACUCGCGUCCUCGGCGGAGCUGCACGUUGGAAGGAGGUGCCAAGAAUUAUGCAGAGAGUGACCACAGCGAAGAUGAGGACAAUGACAACAACAGUGCCACCACGGAGGAGUCCACAAAGAAAAGCAAAAAGAAACCACCCAAGAAGAAAUCCCGAUACGAGAGAACAGACAACGGUGAAAUCACGUCUUUCAUCACGGAGGAUGACGUUGUGUACAGGCCUGGAGAUUGCGUAUAUAUUGAAAGCCGCCGGCCGAAUACGCCGUAUUUCAUCUGCAGCAUUCAAGACUUCAAACUGAGUAAACGGGACCAUCUCCUUAUGAAUGUCAAAUGGUACUAUCGCCAGUCUGAAGUCCCAGAUUCAGUCUAUCAGCAUUUGGUUCAGGACAGACACAAUGAGAAUGACUCUGGACGAGAGCUUGUUAUUACAGACCCAGUUAUCAAGAACCGAGAGCUCUUCAUUUCAGACUACGUCGACACUUACCACGCUGCUGCCCUCAGGGGAAAGUGUAACAUCUCCCAUUUCUCUGACAUUUUUGCUGCUAGAGAGUUUAAAGCGAGAGUGGAUUCAUUUUUCUACAUACUGGGCUAUAAUCCAGAGACGAGGAGGCUAAACAGUACCCAAGGUGAAAUCAGAGUUGGACCCAGUCAUCAGGCUAAGCUUCCUGAUCUGCAGCCCUUUCCUUCCCCAGAUGGUGACACAGUGACACAGCAUGAAGAACUUGUGUGGAUGCCAGGAGUCAACGACUGUGACUUACUUAUGUAUCUUAGGGCAGCAAGGAGCAUGGCAGCUUUUGCAGGCAUGUGUGAUGGAGGAUCCACAGAAGAUGGUUGUGUUGCAGCCUCCCGUGAUGACACUACCCUUAAUGCACUCAAUACACUACAUGAAAGUAACUACGAUGCUGGAAAAGCCCUGCAGCGCUUGGUGAAGAAGCCUGUGCCCAAACUGAUUGAGAAGUGUUGGACUGAAGAUGAAGUGAAACGGUUCAUUAAGGGGCUGAGGCAGUACGGCAAGAACUUCUUCAGGAUCCGAAAGGAGUUGCUUCCGAAUAAGGAGACCGGAGAACUAAUCACCUUCUAUUACUAUUGGAAGAAAACCCCUGAAGCAGCAAGUUCUCGAGCCCACCGUAGGCAUCGAAGGCAGGCUGUGUUUCGGAGAAUUAAAACUCGAACUGCUUCCACUCCAGUCAACACUCCCUCCAGGCCCCCCUCCAGCGAAUUCUUGGACUUGAGCUCGGCCAGCGAAGAUGACUUUGACAGUGAGGACAGUGAACAGGAGCUGAAGGGCUACGCCUGCCGUCACUGCUUCACAACCACCUCCAAGGACUGGCACCACGGCGGUCGAGAAAACAUCUUACUGUGCACAGAUUGUCGUAUUCACUUCAAAAAGUACGGAGAGCUGCCACCCAUUGAGAAGCCCGUAGACCCUCCACCCUUUAUGUUUAAGCCUGUCAAAGAGGAAGAUGAUGGACUUAGUGGAAAGCAUAGCAUGAGGACAAGGAGGAGUCGAGGCUCGAUGUCUACACUACGUAGUGGUCGUAAAAAGCAGCCAGCCAGCCCUGAUGGUAGAGCCUCACCCAUUAAUGAAGACAUCCGUUCCAGCGGCCGCAACUCUCCCAGUGCUGCCAGCACCUCCAGUAAUGACAGCAAAGCAGAUUCAGUGAAGAAGUCCACCAAGAAAAUAAAAGAAGAGGUUUCUUCUCCUCUGAAGAAUUCCAAGAGGCAGCGGGAGAAGGCAGCGUCUGACACAGAGGAGCCCGAAAGGUCCAGUGCCAAAAAAUCCAAAACUCAAGAGAUCAGCAGGCCAAACUCUCCCUCGGAGGGUGAGGGUGAAGGUGAGAGCUCUGACAGCCGCAGCGUCAACGACGAAGGGAGCAGCGACCCCAAGGACAUCGACCAGGAUAACCGGAGCACGUCACCCAGCAUCCCCAGCCCUCAAGACAAUGAGAGCGACUCAGAUUCAUCUGCUCAGCAGCAAGUGCUGCAGGCGCAGCCCCAAGUGCUGCAGGCACCCAGCAGCUCCGGCCAGGCACCUCCUCCCAUGCCCCCCAUCCCAGCUCAGCUGCCAGCACCGCUGCCGGCAGCCUCGAGUGCUUCCGCAGCUCCGCCGCAGGUUUCACCACCAGCAUCCCAGGCCCCCAGCCAGCCCCAGGCCCCCGCGCCGCCUCCUCCUCAUUCCCACAUCCAGCAAGCCCCUGCUUUGCACCCACAGAGACUGCCUUCGCCUCACCCACCCCUGCAGCCUCUGAAUGCAUCGCAGAGCCAGCCCGCCCCAGCCUCAUCGCAGCCCCACUCGCAGCCUCCUCUGCACGCUCAGCCCCAGCCUGCCCCGCACAGCCUGCAGGCGCAGCCCCUGCUGCCUCAUCCCGUACCCCCCCAGCCGUUCUCGCUCCCCACGCAGUCUCCUCAGUCUCAGGUUCCCCUUCAGACACAAGCGCCGUCUCACUCCCACUCUGCACUGCAGGUGUCUCAGCCCUCCCUGCCAGCCGCAGCCCCGCUGCAGCAGGCCCAGCCUCCGCGGGAGCAGCCGCUGCCCCCCGCGCCCAUGGCCAUGCCUCACAUCAAGCCUCCCCCCACCACCCCCAUCCCGCAGCUUCCCACCCCUCCAUCCCACAAGCAUCCUCCUCAUCUCUCCGGCCCUUCUCCGUUCUCGAUGAACUCCAAUCUGCCCCCGCCACCAGCUCUAAAACCCUUGAGCUCCCUCUCCACUCACCACCCUCCAUCCGCACACCCUCCUCCCCUGCAGCUGAUGCCCCAGAGCCAGCCGCUGCAGUCUUCGCAAGCCCAGCCUCCCGUCCUGACCCAGAGUCAGAGCCUUCCCCCAUCUGCUCCUCACCCCCCAUCCGGACUCCACCAGGUAUCCUCGCAGCCCCCCUUUUCUCAGCAUCCCUUUGUCCCCGGAGCCCCACCGUCCAUCACCUCUCCUUCGUGCCCUUCCACUUCCACGCCGCCUGCCGUGCCCGGCAUCCCGCUUCAGACCUCCAUCUCCACGUCAGCAGCUUCUAGUGGGAGCGUGCCGGUGGUGACGUCCUGCACGCUGCCACCUGUCCAGAUCAAAGAGGAGGUUCCCGAUGAGGCUGAGGAACCAGAAAGCCCUCCGCCUCCACCACGGAGUCCAUCGCCAGAACCAACUGUGGUGGAUACACCGAGUCAUGCCAGCCAGUCUGCCAGGUUCUAUAAGCACCUGGACCGUGGCUACAAUUCGUGCUCAAGAGCAGAUUUGUACUUCAUGCCUCUGGCAGGAUCCAAACUGGCCAAGAAGAGAGAAGAGGCCAUUGAAAAGGCCAAAAGGGAAGCGGAGCAGAAAGCCAGAGAAGAGAGGGAGAGAGAGAAAGAAAAAGAGAAGGAAAGAGAGAGAGAACGUGAGCGUGAGAGAGAAGCAGAAAGAGCUGCGCAGAAGGUAUCCAGCUCCUCCCACGAGGGCCGCCUGGGAGAGUCGCAGCUCAGCGGGCCAGCACACAUGAGACCUUCCUUUGAACCCCCACCAACGACCAUCGCUGCCGUCCCUCCUUACAUUGGCCCAGACACACCUGCUCUACGAACGCUGAGCGAGUACGCCCGUCCUCACGUCAUGUCUCCAACAAACCGUAACCAUCCCUUCUUCGUCCCCCUGAACCCCACCGACCCGCUCCUGGCCUACCACAUGCCCGGCCUCUACAACGUGGAUCCCACCAUCCGGGAACGAGAGCUGAGGGAGAGGGAGAUCCGGGAGCGAGAAAUCCGGGAGAGGGAGCUGAGAGAGAGGAUGAAACCUGGCUUCGAGGUGAAGCCCCCGGAGCUCGAUGCGCUGCACCCGGCCACCAACCCCAUGGAGCAUUUUGCCAGGCACGGCGCACUGACUAUUCCCCCAACGGCAGGACCUCACCCGUUUGCUUCCUUCCACCCGGGUUUAAACCCGCUCGAAAGAGAGAGACUCGCACUGGCAGGCCCGCAGUUACGGCCUGAAAUGAGCUACCCUGACAGACUGGCAGCUGAGAGAAUACACGCGGAGCGGAUGGCAUCACUGACAAACGACCCGUUGGCACGGCUCCAGAUGUUCAACGUCACGCCUCACCAUCACCAACAUUCGCACAUACAUUCGCAUUUACACCUACAUCAGCAGGAUCCCCUCCAUCAAGGUUCAGCAGGACCUGUUCACCCGCUGGUGGAUCCGUUAGCAGCUGGACCCCAUUUGGCACGUUUCCCCUACCCACCUGGGACCAUCCCCAACCCAUUGCUAGGACAGCCACCUCAUGAGCAUGAAAUGCUCCGACAUCCAGUCUUUGGUACCCCUUACCCUCGGGAUCUGCCUGGUGCCAUUCCACCUCCGAUGUCCGCAGCCCACCAGCUGCAGGCCAUGCAUGCACAGUCAGCAGAGCUGCAGAGACUGGCAAUGGAGCAGCAGUGGUUGCACGGGCAUCCUCACAUGCAUGGUGGUCAUCUACCAAGUCAGGAAGAUUAUUACAGUCGGCUGAAGAAAGAAGGCGACAAACAGUUGUAAUAAAUUAUUUAUUUGUAAUGCUGGCUAUGGAAACCCCAGUCCUUGGGAAGGAGUGGAACAUUUUUACAUACAAUAAGAGCUACAAAAGGAAAAGAAUAUCUUAUAAAGAUUUCUUUAUAUAUUUAAAACAGAAACAACCACCCAACAAGUAGAGACUUAUCAGCAUAGCGUUCAUUUGUAGAGAAGAUUUCUCAAGACUGGUGUGGGUCUCCCUGCAUGACAACGUAUUCAGAAGCCUAUUGAAAAUACAGGACUGUGUGGAAUAUUCAGAGAACAUCCUGCAACCUUGGGUUUUUUUUUUUUUCUUUCCUUACUAGUUUGUUUUGAGUAGGUGCUAGGAUUGGGUUCACAACACAAGUCACUGUGCGUGAAGAGACACUCAGUGCAUCUAUAGCUACUUCAAAAAAAAAAAAAAAACAAGGAUUGCAAGUAGGUGACAUAACAAGCUCUGAAUCCAAGUGCUAUAAUAAUAAUAAAAAAAUCUACUUUUAUUUUAAUACAUUGUAGGAAAUCUUCAUAAUUUUCAAGAGAGCUCAGUUCUGCAGCAUGGCUUUUUAAGUCUGUAAAUAACUUUUUUGGGUAGAGGGGAGAAACGAAACAAAACGAAACUCCAGAAACGUUUAUGUUGAUUUUCAGUAACAUCACACGUUGUGAAUUCCUACCUGGUAUUGACAGAAUACAGAGUUGAUUUUUUAAUAAAAAAAAAAUAUAUAUAGUUAUCCCUUUAAUUAAAGGGAACAAUGGGUAUCAAUAAUUUCAAAUGGGUAAAAGCUUGAAAUUUGGCUUGUUAUCAACAAUAAGCAUUAAAGGGAGAUGCAGGGAUAAUGUUGCAAAUGACUGUUCUUGGUUUUUUGUUUCUUCUGUUAGUGUUACAUCUCUGUUUCUGCAGCUGAUUUCUGUUGAGUUGGGUUUCUCAGCAGUGCAGGUGUCCCUUGGAGCUCACUUACCCUACUUCAGGGGUUUGUCUUCAGCAUGGCCAUCAUACACCUCUUUCCUUUUACCUUUCGGAACCUAAAUCUAACUACAUUUGUUUUAGGCUUAUCCCUCAUAGGAUAACUAAGAGUUCAAAGAAAUAACCUGGUCUAAAAUCUCUAUUUUGAAAUGCUCCAUGGCUCAAAGUAGUACAGCCAGAACUUCAUACCGUGCAUAUUUUUGGAGGUUUGCUCUCCCUGGCCUCAUGUGUUCGAUGCAUUUUUAAGAAAGGAGGACUGGACAACUCAGUGUUCUUAAAGCUGUUUUGCAAAGAGCAGUCUGCAUUUCCUUUGGACUGUUUGAAUUCUGUUUUUAUAAGCAAAAACUUUUUAACUGCCACAAACGUUCUGUAUCUCAGGAACUUAACUGCUUUGGGCUUCAGAUAAUACAUGGACAGUAAUAUUUACUGCCUCCAACACAACAGGUCCGUGCAGAACUCCUGUUGGCUGGUUCCCAUGUGGGUGGGAAGAGGAGAGGGGCACGCAGGAGGCCAGGGAGCAUUAUUUUAGAGACAGCUCUGCUUACUGCCUGGGCAGAGAGGUUUUAUGUGUUCUUACUGUUCCAUAUGUUUGGUUGGUUUGGUUUUUCGGUUGUUCUCUUUCUUUUUUUUGCCAGGGCAGAGGGUGGUGCAGCCAAUGGACAUCUGAAUCUGCUGGCCAUCUGCUUCCCCAUUUCCUCUCUCAACUCGUGAGCACUCUCUCUCUGCCGUUGUAGACUGUUAUAAAUGUGAUGGUUGUGUCAUAGGACUGUACUGAGCCACGUGUGCUGAAGCUGUGGUUAAUGACACGCUGUGAUGGAAGGUGUGCACAGUGCUUCAUCACCACUCAAACCGACGUCAGCAGCAGUGCCCAAAGGCGUCCUGCAACAACCCAGUGACAAACUGAAACCUUGCAUCAGCAAGAAUAUAAGGGAGGGAGACGAGGGUGAUUUCAGCUGCUGACCUCUUGUGUCCUCUGUUGCAGAUCUCGCAAUGCUAAGGAACUGCAGUAGCAUUUAAUCAGUUCCAUGCCCUGUGCACGAGCUCUGAAGGUGUAAGCAGGAGCAGCCAGUGUUGGCAUGUGGAGGCUGUGAGGUCAGUGUGGCACCCAGCAUGGUGGGCUUCCUUUGGGCACUGCUGUGCUGGCAUCCGAAAGUGAAUUACUCCUUUCUUCUGAGUAGCAUUUUUACCUUCUGCUUUUAGCUUUUUUUAGAUCAACACCAACAUUUUGUGGGGUUUUUUGUUUGCAUCAUUCACCAAAAAAGCACUGAAGCUUCCAUUUUAGACCUGUGAUUAACUACAGCUUUACUCUGCAGUGGCAUUUGAAGCCAUCCUGGUGUUGGAUGCCCCGUUCAAACAACCCAGACCUGGUUUUCUUUCAGAAAUCUCUCUUUUGUUUUUCCUCAGUUUUGAAAGUUUUAAGUUUUCAAUUUUGCUUUUGUGUUUUUGAGAAGUCUCUCUUGUUCUGUGUCGUCAUGGUUGAGCUUGUUUCACUGCACCGUUACAGCAGAGUGUACAUUCUGACUGCUACAUUUAUAUAUAUCUUGAAGCUUAAUGUAUAUAUGAGUAGUUUGCCAUGGGAUAACACAGUGUAAACAGAGUAGAAACCCAGAAAUCGUGACUUCUGUGUUCUCUCCAUUUGAGUAUUUUGUAAUUUUUUUGAAAUAUUUGUGGACAUAAAUAAAACCAAGCUACACUACAGCAGCCAGGUUCUGCCUGCAAGCAGAUGUGUCUGUUGAUUGCUGUGGGUAGGAGAAGACUGUUUCCAUCCAGAGAAAUGCGGGACGGCCGUUCUUGCUGUUUCAAAGCUCAUCUCACCUCUUUUCUUUGCUUGACUUUUUCCUCCUCGGAGAUGAUUUUGUUUCUAACACACAGCACAGACAGCAGCACCACGUCCAGCUCUGCAGCUCAAUGCCUGCCCUGGGCUGCUGUGUGCCCUGCAGCCGUGAGUUGGGAAGGCAGAUUGGAAGGAAUGGAUGUAGGAGGGAUGCUGGGCUGGUGUGAGCUCAGCGAGUUUCUGUCUGCAGUGUGAAUGCAUUGUGAGCACAGGGGGGUAAAGGAAAGGGUGUGCAAGAAGCUCUCCAGGUGGUAAAGAAGCUGCACCAGGUGGUAAAGAGCAGAAAACCAGGAUGGUCCUUCGGUUCUGCUCUCAUUCACAGAGUGGAGAAGGCUGCAUGCUGUCACCUCCCUUUCAUUUUGCAUGUGAAACAAAGGUGUUGGAAGAUACAGAACGGAAAGCCGGGCCUGAUGAGUCACGAGGACGCGUAGCCUUCACGUUGGGUUAAUGGUACGCAAUAUAUACACAAGGAACGGAGUAUUUUUGUGCCUCUUGCUUUCUAAGAGGCGUUACUUUGUGCCAGUGAAGUGAAUGCUGCGGGGCGUUGCGUUGGGAGGAGCAGCCGGGAAGCAGCAGCGGGAGCGAGCCGCUCAGCAGCGCCACCUGGCGGCAGGGGCAGGAAUUACCAGACGUUGUGCUCUCAGCAGCGUCACCUGGCGGCGGGGGCAGGAAUUACCGAACGUUGUGCACUCGCAGCGCCACCUGGCGGCAGAGGUGGGAGUUACCAGGCGUGGUGCUCUCAGCAGCGCCACCUGGCGGCACGGGCGGGAACUACCAGGCGUUGUGCUCUCACGAGCGCCACCUGGCGGUACGGAUGGGAAUCAGCGCGCGGAAGCGCUCGCGAGCGCCACCUGGCGGCCGCUCUGCGGAGGUCCUGGAACGUUCUAGAGUGCGCGGCCGGCCGGAGCCGUGCCCAGCUGCCAUGCGGACCGCCGGGCUGGGAGGAAACCUCGGCGUGUUGCAUGCUUGUAGAGGGGAAUGCGGCACCGGGCAGCGUCCCCCAGUGUCCUUCAGUGCUGCGAUGGACCCCCACGGACAGCCCCGUUCGUGCAGCGCCAACAGAUCUGAUGAGCAGGAGGACUGAUGUGAGGAACACACAGAGCUCAGGGGCAGAGGAUGGAGCCCGUCUCCCCCCGCCGGCAGGACUGCUUUCCAUCACGGCUGUAACUCUGCACACUUGUGGAGAGCGAAGGUGGGAAGGAGUGACCAGAGGUGAUGGCUGCAAAGGUGAAAGAGAAAGGCUGUGUCAGAGAGUGAAUUCCUGCCUCCGUCGGGGUCAGCAGAGGGAUUGUGUGAUCAUAUGAACCACGCAAGAGGCAGAUCACAGCAACGUGCAGAGAAGCUGGCCCUGAUCCUGGUGCAGAAGAGCAAUCCUGCUGCUGUCAGAGGAGCUGCACUGACAUAAAUCUGCUGUAAGCAGGAGCAUCACAGAGCCCUGCAAUGGACAUUUUCCACCUUCCAGAGUGGACUCAAGCAGACAAGCCUCAGUGUGCACAGCUGUCCUUCUGAGAUGGAUGUCGCUAUCUGCAGCAGGCAGCUUUGCUGGUUUUUCUUCCCCCUCGCCGCUUCUGCCAAGAGAACUGGAGGGCUGUGGUCGGUGGCACCACCGUGGGAUGACAGUGUGCCAACACAGUGAGCAGAAAGCUGCAGUCCGGGGCUCCAAAAACACACAAAAGCAGAACUCCUAUAAAACCCUGACAGCACUGGGAUCAGCAGCACAAGGGAGCAUUCUGUUUGGAUUCUUUCCCCCAGAAGUAAUGGAUGACCUUUCUUCAGCUCUGUGUCAAUCUGGCCAUGCAGGGAGACUUCCCCACACUGGUACCAGGUGAGGAUGCUCGUGCAGAACCAUACAAACAGCUGGCAGCAGGGAAUGCUGCCAUGCAAUGGUACACUGAGGCUACCAAGUGCUGUCACUGCACCAUCCCUGUUAUCCUCCUGAGUGCUGUCAGAACAGCAGAGAGCUUUGGACUCUCCUCCUCCCCCCACCCCCCCAUUGAGAGCUUUCUGUCCUCGCAGUGUAUUUUUGAGGGCCUCUGUUUUCACAGCACCGGGAUGGAUGGACUCCUAAAAUAUACAGCCAAUUACACAGCAGAAUUUAUUAGACUUUAUUCUGGUGCACGUUACGUGGUGGGGGUGGGGAGGAAAGAGCAAACUCCGGUAGGAAAGCCAUAGCAACUGCAGCUGUAAGUGUGAGGAUGAGAAGUCCCCAUAAAUACACCUGACUUUGCCAUCACUGUUAAUUAAAUGCACGUCAUGAAACACGGGCACAGGGAGCAGCAGUGCUCGCAGGCACAGCAAGAGCGAGGCUGCAUGGCCUGGGGCUGAGCUGCAGAGCACAGCCAGGAGGGUUAGAGCCAUGCAGGUGAUUGGGAGAACCCUUCCCAGCAAGGCAGAGGGGACUUUCCAAUCAGUUCUUAACAUUUCUUGCUUUAUCUUCUCAUCUUCACGGGUUUCAUUGUAAUGAUCCGGCGUGCUGCACUGCUCCGCUGUGAUUUCUCUUCCUGUCCCAGAUGGGUGGUAGAGGAGAACUCAGCACUGAUGCUAAGAAGGAAAUGGGGCAUAGGAAGGACCCGUCCCACUCAGCUCUAAGGGUGAAGCUUAGGGGCCUCGUGCUGCGAUUUGUUCCACUUCUAUGGUGUUCUCCCCUGCAAAUGAUGCACCAAAAUUUGCUUUCUAGGAGCAGCGAUGCACAGUGUCCUCCCAGAGGUUUGUGAUCCACAAAGACCAGGAUGAGGUUCUGUGUUAAUGCAGCCCUACCUCAUUUUCUUCCCCUUCUUAUGAAGCGUUUUUCCAUUCCCAGCUCUGUUUCACCUUUGGUGAUCUCCCUGGCAUGUACUCCAUCAGCGCUCCUAUGGGGCUGCAGCGUGUAGGAAGUAAAGCCCACAGUUCAGCACUAUCCAUCUAAUAUCUUCUGACUGGUUUUAAUCAUAGCAUUUUCCAUUUAAUUGGGAAGGCAGGCACACUUUGCAUAUUAACACAGUGCAGCCUGCACCUCCUAAGCAUUCAAAGCAGAGAUGGCUGGGAUGUGCCCUGCAGCAGCUGGGAACCUGCUGGGUGUCUGUAGCAUCUCAGGGAAUGGGGUCUUUGCAGCAGGGCUGGCUGGCUGGAUGCCUACUGGAGCAAAAAAGGUAUCAUCCCCUCAAAAAAUUACAUGCAUUUCCACCCAUUUAAAUAAUUGGUCUGCAGACUGUGCAGCUGUUGCUUUGCUGUUGAGUCCAUUGUUUUCCUUAGAGCAUAACACUGCUGGUCUCAUUGUCUGCUCAGGGGAAAAUAUCUUCUUCCCUCCAAAGCUCUUGGUUGUGUCGCUCUUUCCUCUUCUGUGAUCCACCCAUCCUCAUGAAGGACCCAUUCUUUCCCUUCUUGCCUUUGUUCUGCCACCCAUUGCAGGGGUCUGUCUGGUGCAAAACCAACAGCUUUGUCUUAAUUUCACUGUGGUUUUCAGGGCUCUCUUCUCCUCGGUCAGUACUUGCCUUGGGACAGGCAUGUUCAUUUGGAUUUGGAGGAGGUCUUUUAUGGUGAGAAGGCUUUACAAGAGCAAGCUCACAUACACACCUUGCCAUGUGUGAGACACCACGGGCAGCUGUCACUGCGAGCUGCUGUCAGAAUUACUUCAUUGCACGUUAGCUGUGGUCCAGAAAGCCAGCAGAUGUGCAGUUCUACCAGGAAGAGGUGUGUGCUUUAAACUCAAGACAGAUCCAGCAUACAGUGUUCCUCUUCCCUGGAAGAAGGCUGGCUCCCAACUCCACACAAGCACCUAAUGAUGGCCUCAGGGCACGGUGCUCUUGGCCAGGGAUUGGUGGCAUGCCUUGUCCUGUGCUAGGGAUGGCCAUUCAGAGCAGCAUCCGAAGUAGAAGGGAAGCAGGGAGCGAAAGGAGCAGUUCUUGCAUUGCAGCAUGCAUUUCCCUGCCUGCUCAGCCCUGCUGCUCCAGCUUUUCUGGUCAGGUAAGGAUGGCAUCGCGUCGCUGUCCUGCCUUGCACUUACCCACAGACUUCAUAAUUAUGGCCUUCUUUAAAACAGAUACUGCUUGUCGUGCCAGGAAUGGUCACAGAGUGAGGAAGCAGCUCAGGGAUCCAUUAGGGAAUGAGAGGUGGCUACAUUUAUUUCUACCUGAAAUUUCAAUUAAGAUUGCAGUGUAAAGCGUGCUUCAUUGUCAGCCAAACGGAGACAGAACGGCGCUGGGUGUUGAAUUUUAGAGUCUGUUUGUCAAGGACCAGAUGGAGAUUUGGGGGGUUUAAAGGUCCAGGGCAGUGCUGGAGUCACAAAUGCAUGUGGUGUUCAUGUGGGUGUUUGAAAGCUGUGUGUCCCAAUGGCAACAGGAGACCCAGCUCCAUUGUUGAGCUUUCUCAACAGCUGGAAGAAUAGCAGAAGUUGUAGAAACAUUACAUAUGUUAGCCUCCGUGGAUGGAAACUAAAGGAGGAUGGUGGAGGUUGGAUGUUCUGCUCUUCGCUAAGGCUGGGAGGCACAGAGGGGCAGGUGGGCUCUUAGCCAUUGGUUAUCACUGCAAAACUCCAUCAGGAUAACCCUGAGAUGAAGGUGCUAAGAACCACUGGGCUUCUGUGCAUCCUGGUGCUUUGUUGAAUGGGAAAUCUCAAACUCCUGGCUCCUGCAGCGUGCACACCUUCCCAUCUCCUUCCAUUUGCACCGUCAGUGCACGACUGUGAAAUGGCAUCUGUGCAAAGCGUG